This 876-nucleotide unclassified non-coding RNA is filed under the name Hevea brasiliensis (rubber tree). The record is from RNAcentral. Lineage: Eukaryota; Viridiplantae; Streptophyta; Magnoliopsida; Malpighiales; Euphorbiaceae.
AAAAAAAAAAAAAAAAAAAAUGCAGAACCAUAAUCUGAGUAACUACAAGGAAUUGUGGACGGUAAUGGUCUAAAAUUUGAAUAAUCAUACUAACAGCAUUCUCAAUGAAAUUUCCAAGAUAGUCAUUAUAAUAACGUACAACCAGAUUAAAACAAAAUUAAAAACUAACUUCCACGUCUAUACCUGCAUACCUUAUUAAAACAUGGAACUCUCUUAAUCUUAAAUUGAUGAAAGAUUCAUCCAAAAUCAGAUAAACAUAAAAAUUCCAUGUUUUACAUGCAAAUUUCUAGCAAUUGUAGUGCCCUACUCGCACAUUAUUCACACAGAGACAUUCAAAUACAAUGGAACAGUCAAUAGGAUGUGGGUCUGUCUUAAACAAUAAACAAGCACCAGGGAUAACCUAAUGUUAAGAAACCGAGCAUAAAGCAUGUACAGAUUGGAGACACAUUUUGACCCUCAUUUAUCAAACCCACAUUUAUAUUUAUCUCCUCCACAUGCGCUCUUCAGUCCUCACUAGUACGUAGUUAUAAACUAAACUCUUGAGGCAAAUAAUGUAAAGCAAGGAAAAGGGGAAACAAAUGUGCGAGAUGAUGAAGAUUUACGAGCAAAGCAAUGGUGGGUGUAUAAAAACAGACCUGAAAUUCUGGUUUCUGGUCCAAGAAGCCAAGUGCCAAAUUGUUGAAGUAUAAGUUUACAGAGAAGCAAAAACUAAAAUUCAAAUUGAAGUCUGAUUUUAAAGAGAAAAUAUACCAAGUAAUGAAAUGAAAGGAACAAGUUAGAAAUCGAAACCUUCUUCGUGUCUUAUAAUCUUGUCUCCUUCUUGAUUCCGCAUCAGCAGUAGCAGCAGAUAACAGGGUAAAGCAUAAGUUUGCCUUC